Molecule: long non-coding RNA, 650 nt
Organism: Triticum aestivum (bread wheat)
Lineage: Eukaryota; Viridiplantae; Streptophyta; Magnoliopsida; Poales; Poaceae
Exons: 2
Source: RefSeq, a predicted model, not a curated record
AGUGUUGGACCUCCCCUGACUAAUAAAUACAUCCAUCCAAAUGCAAUGUGCAAUACCUUGCUUACUUGCACACACAAGGUAGGAGACAUCUAAAGCUAGCCGGAGAGGAGAGGAGCCCAGCCUGCCGGAGGCGAGAUGUAUAACAACCCUCCGCCGCCAGAGGGCAUGUCCUACUAUGAGCACGCGCAGAAGCGCCACCAGGAGAAGGGCUGCCUCUACGCAUGCGCGUUCACGGCGCUGUGCUGCUUCUGCUGCUACGAGACGUGCGAGUGCUGCCUCGACUGCCUCUGCUGCUGCUGCAACUAAACCAGCCAUGGUCACCAUGGACGGGCGGACGGACGGACAAAGGUGCAGCGCGAGAUCGACCGGCCUCCACUACUGUUAAUUAUCCCCCAAAAAAAUUUACAAUUUCGUAAUAAGCUAGCUAGCAGCUUAGCUCGAUGAGAACUCUAUCAGGUACCGCAUAAUAUUAUCUUUACCAGACAAGACUAUCACUAUAAUCACCAUCCAUCAUGGUUUGUGUUGCAUCUUUUUUUAAUUAGCAUCAGAUUCUGGUCCUCACCUGCCCACUGCGCUUUUCCUUUGACACUUUGCUUUGUCUCCCUGUAAUUAUCUGAAGACUGAAAUGAACAUUUCAUUAUUAUUUUCUC